RNAcentral lists this long non-coding RNA (992 nucleotides) under Gallus gallus (chicken). Its description in RNAcentral is "lncRNA (ENSGALG00010007764.1)". Lineage: Eukaryota; Metazoa; Chordata; Aves; Galliformes; Phasianidae. The record is from RNAcentral.
GUCAUAGGGACGUAAAAGGUUGGGUUGAGUGGGAAGGGGUCUUAUAGGUCGACUUUAUGGAUUGAAGAGCCAUGGGUUGGGUUGGAAGGGACCUCAUAGAUCAUAGAGUUGUAGAGUGGUUGGGUUGGAAGGGAUCUUAUCGGUCAUGGAGCCAUGGAAUGGUUGGGUUGGGUUGGAAGGGACCUCAUAGGUCAUAGGGACGUAAAAUGGUUGGGUUGAGUGGGAAGGGAUCUUAUAGGUCUACCUUACGGAUUGCAGAGCCAUGGGUUGGGUUGGAAGGGACCUCAUAGAUCACAGAGCUGUAGAGUGGUUGGGUUGGAAGGGAUCUUAUCGGUCAUGGAGCCAUGGAAUGGUUGGGUUGAGUUGGAAGGGACCUCAUAGAUCAUAGAGUGGUUGUGUUGGAAGGGACCUCGUAGAUCAUAGAGUUGUAGAGUGAUUGGGUUGGAAGGGACUGUGUGGGUCACAGAGCUGUAGUGUGGUUGGGUUGGGUGGGAUUGGAAGAGUCCUUAUGGAUCACAGAGCCACCAAAUGGUUGGGUUGGAAAGGAUCUUAAUUGAUCACGGAGGCAUAGAAUGGUUGGGUUGGGUUGGAAGGGGCCUCACAGAUCAUAGAGUCAUAGAGUGGUUGGGUUGGAAGGGACUGUGUGGGUCACAGAGCUGUAGAGUGGUUGGGUUGGAAGGGAUCUUAUCGGUCAUGGAGCCAUGGAAUGGUUGGGUUGGGUUGGAAGGGACCUCAUAGGUCAGAGGGACGUAAAAUGGUUGGGUUGAGUGGGAAGGGAUCUUAUAGGUCUACCUUACGGAUUGCAGAGCCAUGGGUUGGGUUGGAAGGGACCUCAUAGAUCAUAGAGUGGUUGGGUUGGAAGGGACCUCAUAGAUCAUAGAGUUGUAGAGUGGUUGGGUUGAGUGGGAAGGGAUCUUAUAGGUCGACCUUACGGAUUGCAGAGCCAUGGGUUGGGUUGGAAGGGACCUCAUAGAUCAUAGAGCUGUAGAGUG